RNAcentral lists this long non-coding RNA (364 nucleotides) under Physcomitrium patens. RNAcentral's name for it is "long non-coding RNA (PPAT_LNC008015)". The record is from RNAcentral. Lineage: Eukaryota; Viridiplantae; Streptophyta; Bryopsida; Funariales; Funariaceae.
AAGGUAGUUAUCUUGAUAGAACCUACUAUUAGGAACAUUUUAGAAAGUUUCAAGAUAAUUGAUCAAAGUAUAAAUAAGAUUGGUUGAAGCCAUUUGGAACAUUUAAUUAAAUAUAGAUUAUGAUUCUUCUUUUUAGUAAAAUUUGGUCACUUUUUCUUGUUUGAUUUUGUUUGAUUUUAUUUAGUUUUGUUUUGCUCUUUUUUCUUUUAUUCACUUUUGUCUUUCAUAUUCAAUUCUAUUUAGUUACUUUUAAUUUUAUUCUAAUGUGCUUAGUCUUAUGUUGUGUCAAAAUCUUUAUUAUUAUAGACUUGAUAAGGUUUAGACCUUAAAAAAUCUAAUCUUGUUUCAUUGGUAUCAAAACAAG